GCACCCCAGCAAACCCUGUCCUCCAGUGUCAGUGUUGGACACGGGAAAUGCCGGUGCCACAGAGAUUCAAAGUAUAUCCAGAUGGACCUCCCUCUUCCAGUGGAGCCUGUCUCUACAACUUUGAAACACAG
Molecule: small nucleolar RNA, 131 nt
Organism: Osmerus eperlanus (European smelt)
Lineage: Eukaryota; Metazoa; Chordata; Actinopteri; Osmeriformes; Osmeridae
Product: small nucleolar RNA SNORA55
Exons: 1
Source: RefSeq, a predicted model, not a curated record